RNAcentral lists this ribosomal RNA (408 nucleotides) under uncultured bacterium. RNAcentral describes it as "partial 16S ribosomal RNA". It matches the Rfam family "Bacterial small subunit ribosomal RNA", at positions 28 to 526 of the family's 1533-position model. The record is from RNAcentral.
GACGAACGCUGGCGGUGUGCUUAACACAUGCAAGUCGAACGAAGUGGCGAACGGGUGAGUAACGCGUAAUCCACCUGCCCUUCAGAGGGGGACAACAGUUGGAAACGACUGCUAAUACCACAUACUGAAGGAGGGGAUUGCGUCUGCUUAGCUAGUUGGGGGGGUAACGGCCCACCAAGGCGAGGAUCAGUAGACGGGCUGAGGGGAUGAACGGCCAAAAUUGGACUGAGACACGGCCCAGACUUCUACGGGAGGCAGCAGUGGGGAAACUUCCGCAAUGGAGGAAAGUCUGACGGAGGAACGCCGCGUUAGUGAUGACGGCCUUCGGGUUGUAAAGCUCUGUUAAUCGGGACGCGGUACCGGAAUAGAAAGCCACGGCUAACUACGUGCCAGCAGCCGCGGUAAUAC